UCAGGAAANUCUGGAGUAAAAGGCUAUGGCUCAACCAUAGUGUGCUCUGGAAACUNUCUGACUUGAGUGCAGAAGGGGAGAGUGGAAUUCCAUGUGUAGCGGUGAAAUGCGUAGAUAUAUGGAGGAACACCAAUGGCGAAAGCGGCUCUCUGNUCUGUCACUGACGCUGAGGCUCGAAAGCGUGGGUAGCGAACAGGAUUAGAUACCCUGGUAGUNCACGCCGUAAACGAUGAGUGCUAGGUGUUAGGCCCUUUCCGGGGCUUAGUGCCGGAGCUAACGCAAUAAGCACUCCGCCUGGGGAGUACGACCGCAAGGUUGAAACUCAAAGGAAUUGACGGGGGCCCGCACAAGCGGUGGAGCAUGUGGUUUAAUUCGAAGCAACGCGAAGAACCUUACCAGGUCUUGACAUCCCGAUGCUAUUCUUAGAGAUAGGAAGUUACUUCGGUACAUCGGAGACAGGUGGUGCAUGGUUGUCGUCAGCUCGUGUCGUGAGAUGUUGGGUUAAGUCCCGCAACGAGCGCAACCCUUAUUGUUAGUUGCCAUCAUUAAGUUGGGCACUCNAGCGAGACUGCCGGUAAUAAACCGGAGGAAGGUGGGGAUGGCGUCAAAUCAUCAUGCCCCUUAUGACCUGGGCUACACACGUGCUACAAUGGUCGGUACAAUGAGUUGCGAGCCGGUGACGGCAAGCUAAUCUCUGAAAGCCGAUCUCAGUUCGGAUUGGAGGCUGCAACUCGCCUCCAUGAAGUCGGAAUCGCUAGUAAUCGCGGAUCAGCACGCCGCGGUGAAUACGUUCCCGGGCCUUGUACGCACCGCCCGUCACACCACGAGAGUUUGUAACACCCGAAGUCGGUGAGGUAACCUUUUAGGGGCCAGCCGCCUAAGGUNGGA
Molecule: ribosomal RNA, 888 nt
Filed under: uncultured bacterium
Lineage: Bacteria
Description: bacterial SSU rRNA
Rfam family: Bacterial small subunit ribosomal RNA
Source: RNAcentral